ACAGGAGGAUUUUUGCAGAGCUUCCAUCCAGUUCAGAAACAAAGCAAUUCAAUACAUGUCUUCAAGAUUUCUAAAGGCAAUGACUUAUUGUUGUUGUUUGUUUGUUUUGUCAGUAGAACCAUGGAGAAUUGCCAAGAUUGCUGACUAGAUGUGGCCAGGAGAAAUAUCUCCCACUGAGAGACUGGGACAUUGGAAAGACUAUAACACACCUCUGAGUAGAUCUUCUGAUGGAAGACAUUAAGAGUGGAUGCAGAGAGGAUGCAGAUGCUGGGCUGAAGAGAGAGGAAGCUGGAAACCCUGCAUAGUGUGGCUGAGCCUCAGGACUUGUACCUGGCCCUCAGAGACUCCUGGGGGAAGGGUGAGUUUACAGGUGAGGAGUGGCCUGCUCUCACCAUGGACCCAUUCUGGUAGGUCCCUCAACCUCUAUGGGCAUCUGAGAUGGUAGGAAAAGCUGCUCAGAGAGGUCAUAUGGGCAGGACUCCAGCCUAUGCAGAGCCCAGAGUGGUGGGAGAACAGCUGCAGUGAAGCACAUCCAGGGACGGCCAUCCUCCAAGGCUCACUGUGCUUCUCCAGGAUACUUUAGCCUCAAUAUGACUGUUAGAGCUAGACAAAGCAGGGCAGUCUUGCUCGUGGGAUGCGGCCUGAUGCCUGAUCUGAUGCUCUGUUACCUGCUGGCCUCUCUUGGGGAGCCAGUCUGGUCGUGCUUGCUUGAAGUGCAGCCUUGGAUACCCAACAGGGGUGCUUCUAGGAACCCUCAUCAUAGCUCCUUCAAUGGCAGACUUAGCUCCUUCAAUGGCAGACUGUGCCUGAUUAUCAGAGAACUCCAGCAGACCAGGCCCCACUUACAUGAACCAGCCCACGCACAGCUUCACCCUAUCACAGCCCUCCCGUAAUGCUUUACUGACAUGCAUUUGCUCAUGGCCAUUCUCCAUCGCUGUGCUUGUAUGAGUCCACCUUGUUGCUUCCCCCUGCCAUUAACAUGCAGGUUCACUCCUGUGCCAGCACUAAUGUGUGCACAGAUGCUGGCAACACUGUUCUCCCCCCAACCCCUGCUACCACCGCCACCAAUGCUGCCGGUGUGAAUGCAUACAUGGACACCAGCAACUCCAUCUCUGCUAGUGUACUGCCCUUGCUGUGCUGUCAUCACUGGCAUAAACAUGUGCAGGAACACCACCUCCCUGCUCCCACAGUUGCUCUGUGCAAGCCAACAUGUGUGCACCUUGCCACAUUGCUGUGGCUGCUGGUAUGCAUGAGCCAGCAUGGAUCCCACUGCCACUACUCCAGUGACAUGCUUUGACCAGCACCCCUCCCCAUCAGAGUGUGGUGGCCAGUGGACAAGAACACCUCAGUCUCUCCAGUGCAGCAGCUUCCUAACCUUGAGGGGCCAGAGAACAAGGCUGGGGGCCCAGUACCAGCCUCCCAGAGUUAAAACAUGCAGCCCAGCAGUGUAGAGCUGAGCCUUGGCUUUCUAAAAUCUUCCAGAAAUAAAUGAAGCCAGUUGACUGAACCCAUCAUAUGCCACAAUCUAACUCCCAGGGCAUCAAAGAAGAUAAAAGCCAAAAUCCCCAUCCAAAGGACAGUAAUAUCAAAGAUGAGAAAGAACCAGUGCAAAAAACUCUGGCAAUUCAAAAAGCCAGAGUGUCUUUUUACCUCCAAACGAUCACUCCAUUUCCUCAGUGGUGGUUCUUAACUAGGCUGAAAAGACAGAAAUGACAGAUAUAGACUUCAGAAUAUGGAUAGGAAAGAUGAUCAAGAUUUGGGAGAAGAUUGAAACCCAAUCCUAGGAAGCUAAGGAAUACAAUAAUGCAAUACAGGAGCUGAAAGAUGAAAUGGCCAUUUUAAGAAAGAACCAAACUGAUGUGAUAGAGUGACAGAGCUGAAAAACUCACUUUGAGAAUUUCACAAUACAAUUGCAAGUAUUAACAGCAGAGUAGACCAUGCUGACGAAGGACUCUCAGAUCUUGAAGACCAGUUCUCCAAAGUUAACUUGGUCAGAC
RNAcentral lists this long non-coding RNA (1997 nucleotides) under Homo sapiens (human). RNAcentral describes it as "non-protein coding lnc-ZMAT3-3:6". Lineage: Eukaryota; Metazoa; Chordata; Mammalia; Primates; Hominidae. The record is from RNAcentral.